UGCGUAAGGUAUAGUUCUAGGGUACUAUCGUAUGUUUAGGUAUGAGAUGGUCUUAUUGCACGUAUAUUGGAUAGUGUUGGGAUCCAAGGAAUUCCUAGGGUACGAGUGACAUGUACCACUUAUAUGGUAUGGUACAAUUUGGGGGCUGUCAUACCCUCUUGUGAGAAUUUUAUACAGUUUAAGGUGGGGGUAAUCUGGAUAUUUCCUAUCUUAAUAUCUUAAGACCCC
Molecule: long non-coding RNA, 228 nt
Filed under: Capsicum annuum
Lineage: Eukaryota; Viridiplantae; Streptophyta; Magnoliopsida; Solanales; Solanaceae
Description: long non-coding RNA (CANN_LNC007951)
Source: RNAcentral